Molecule: long non-coding RNA, 898 nt
Filed under: Mytilus galloprovincialis (Mediterranean mussel)
Lineage: Eukaryota; Metazoa; Mollusca; Bivalvia; Mytilida; Mytilidae
Source: RNAcentral
AAAUACACAAAAAAGUGAAAAAAGUAUAUUUUAACAAGCAUUUCACAAGCAGGUUGAACAACGGAUUUUCUGAAACUCUGUUCACUGCCAUUGGUAAUUGCAAAAGACAUGAAUCGCCAGAUGUAGCAAAGUAGAUAUUUUAGAUUCUAUAACCCGAAUGCAAAUAUAAUACAAGCCUAAACAGAAAAAGACAUGGGCAUGGAAAACUAAUUUCUUGUUAGAGAGGUCUUCAUAUGUUAACAUGAGCACAGAGCAUGGCAUGAUAGAAUUAUUUCGAUUCUAAUAGGAAAAUUUAGAUCUAAAGUUCUUCGAAGCGGACCUGUAAUUUGCGUUUGAAAGGAAGCCAUUUUGAUUUGGUGAAACAAAAUCAAAUGUUAAACGAUAUGAAAUGAACAGAUACACAAAGACUUACUUUUAGAAUGAUUUUGUUCAAUUUCCAAGCGAGUCACACCAACACAAAUGUCUAUUUUUAUCUCCGGCGUUGUUCGAAAUUCUUCUGACGGUGCCUUUUUUUUUUAAAUUUCGGCGUCAAUCACGUGCAGCCAAAGUUUCAAUUGGAACAAGAACAUGGCUUUGCAUUCAAAGCCAAAAUAGGACGUUAUAUUAGAAUUAUUAAUUCAAUACCAUACAGAAAACAUUUAACUUGCGGAAAAGAAACAAAUGGUGCAAAAAUUAGUACACCAUAUCCGGAUUUCGACAAUAGAUGUCUCUUCACUGAUGUUAGGAAUCGAAACGGUAUUUGGAAGGUCAUAUAAUUUAGCUCAAUUAGAAUAUAUUCUUGAAUUCUAAAUUGUCAAAAUAGAACGAAGGGAUCAUAUAAACCUGAAGACAAAUAUAAUAAAAACUAAAAAGAAAGAAAAAAGAAAGAAAAAAGCGAAAAAAUAAAUUAAAACAAAAC